AUUGAACGCUGGCGGCAGGCCUAACACAUGCAAGUCGAGCGAGCGGGGGGCGGGUGAGUAAUGUCUGGGAAACUGCCUGAUGGAGGGGGAUAACUACAGGAAACGGUGGCUAAUACAGCAUACCAUCAGAGAUGCCCCGAUGGGAUUUGCUAGUAGGUGGGGUAACGGCUCACCUAGGGGACGAUCCCUAGCUGGUCUGAGAGGAUGACCAGCCACACUGGAACUGAGACACGGUCCAGACUCCUACGGGAGGCAGCAGUGGGGAAUAUUGCACAAUGGGCGCAAGCCUGAUACAGCCAUGCCGCGUGUGUGAAGAAGGCCUUCGGGUUGUAAAGCACUUUCAGCGGGGAGGCGUUACCCGCAGAAGAAGCACCGGCUAACUCCGUGCCAGCCGCCGCGGUAAUUC
This 406-nucleotide ribosomal RNA is filed under the name uncultured bacterium. RNAcentral describes it as "partial 16S ribosomal RNA". It matches the Rfam family "Bacterial small subunit ribosomal RNA", at positions 30 to 526 of the family's 1533-position model. The record is from RNAcentral.